GUGCUGGCUUCGGCAGCACAUAUACUAAAACUGGAACUAUACAGAGAAGAUUAGCAUGGCCCCUGCACAAGGAUGAUACGCAAAUUCGUGAAGUGUUCCAUUAUAUA
This is a small nuclear RNA of Callithrix jacchus (white-tufted-ear marmoset), 107 nucleotides long. NCBI's taxonomy places the organism in Eukaryota, Metazoa, Chordata, Mammalia, Primates, Cebidae. The record is from Ensembl.